This is a long non-coding RNA of Mus musculus (house mouse), 548 nucleotides long. RefSeq annotates it as RIKEN cDNA 2510003B16 gene. The transcript is spliced from 3 exons. The record is from RefSeq and is marked validated. NCBI's taxonomy places the organism in Eukaryota, Metazoa, Chordata, Mammalia, Rodentia, Muridae.
AACAGACCACUAGGAGCUGUGGCUUAUCCUGGUGGCAGCAACAGGCAGGUGCCAGAAUUCUUACUUGCCAACGGUCCCUCUUCCUGGCUCCUGCCUUUGGCCGAAGCAGCUGAACCAAAUAGAUGUUUUGCACCGAAGUACUGUGCGGAGGAGUUGCUACUGGAAUAGAUUUCAAAAGGCAGCACAUUUUUGGGAAUUUGAUUCAGGCUCUUUAUUGUGCCAGACCUGGAGCAGAAAUCUGAGCUGGAAGCAGGCAAGGCCAGUGGCCAGUCAAAAGACUGUACUGACUGCUGGUGAGACUGCUGCAAUGGCUCGUCAGUGUACCCCGCUCCUCCAGCAGCCAGCGCACUGCCUCAAUACCCUCGUUCAAGGUCACCAGCUGCUGCAGGAUCUUCACAUCGAUAGCUCGCAGGCACUCUGGAGGUGGAAGGAAGAGGAUCAGAAGUUCAAGGCCAUUCUCAGCUAUGUUGGCAGUUCAAGACCAGCCGGAGCUUCAUGAAACCCUGUUUUAAAAUUAAUGAAAUAAAAUAAUAAAAUAAAACAAGAUU